AAAUCCUCGGAAAUGUGUAAUGCAAUCAACUAUACAUUUGUGAACUAAAAAUUUUUUAUAUAAUAUUUCUAUUAAAUUAAGCUUGCACAGGAAUCCAAUAACUUUUUGCAUCACACAAGGUCACAACCACACACAUGCACAAAAGAAUAGUUGCUUGCAUUUUCUGAAUUCGGAGAUGUUUGGUGCUGCAGGAUGAAAGAUCUUCACCAGAGGUG
Molecule: unclassified non-coding RNA, 215 nt
Filed under: Hevea brasiliensis (rubber tree)
Lineage: Eukaryota; Viridiplantae; Streptophyta; Magnoliopsida; Malpighiales; Euphorbiaceae
Source: RNAcentral